GACGUAGGGGGCCAGCGUUGUUCGGAAUUACUGGGCGUAAAGCGCACGUAGGCGGGUUGUUAAGUCAGGGGUGAAAUCCUGGAGCUCAACUCCAGAACUGCCUUUGAUACUGGCAACCUAGAGACUGGAAGAGGUUAGUGGAAUUCCCAGUGUAGAGGUGAAAUUCGUAGAUAUUGGGAAGAACACCAGUGGCGAAGGCGGCUAACUGGUCCAGCACUGACGCUGAGGUGCGAAAGCGUGGGGAGCAAACAGG
RNAcentral lists this ribosomal RNA (253 nucleotides) under uncultured bacterium. RNAcentral's name for it is "partial 16S ribosomal RNA". It matches the Rfam family "Bacterial small subunit ribosomal RNA", at positions 524 to 776 of the family's 1533-position model. The record is from RNAcentral.